This 249-nucleotide ribosomal RNA is filed under the name uncultured Corynebacterium sp. Its description in RNAcentral is "partial 16S ribosomal RNA". The record is from RNAcentral. Lineage: Bacteria; Bacillati; Actinomycetota; Actinomycetes; Mycobacteriales; Corynebacteriaceae.
CGACGCCUGGGGGUAGGCCAUUACCCCACCAACAAGCUGAUAGGCCGCGAGCUCAUCCUGCACCGAAAAACUUUCCACCACCGACACUAAACGAUGGUCCUAUCCGGUAUUAGACCCAGUUUCCCAGGCUUAUCCCGAAGUGCAGGGCAGAUCACCCACGUGUUACUCACCCGUUCGCCACUCGAGUACCCUGCAAGCAGGGCCUUUCCGUUCGACUUGCAUGUGUUAAGCACGCCGCCAGCGUUCGUC